Neodiprion fabricii is the source of this 412-nucleotide long non-coding RNA. RefSeq lists it as uncharacterized. The transcript is spliced from 3 exons. The record is from RefSeq and is a predicted model, not a curated record. Lineage: Eukaryota; Metazoa; Arthropoda; Insecta; Hymenoptera; Diprionidae.
AGACUUAUGGAUUGCAAAUCACAGAGAUGCAGAAUCGUGUUACUCCACAACAUUCCACGUGAAAUGCAUGUACUCGUGUUCUUCGAUCGAGAGAGGAAAACCUCCGCACCUCCUUCCUCCUGGAGAGACGUAGACCAAGUCACCUAAUUUUCUCUUUAAAUUUGCGACCAAGUGCCCCACUCCCUGGGUCUAACCUCAUCCGAUCUCUCGGUAUCUGUUCCUGCGCGUUCCAUGAUUCUAAGCCGACAAGCUGAACCUGAUGCAUAGUGUCGUUGAUGAAGGAAUCUAUCGAAUUUUGCACGCUCAGCAGGCUUUCCUUGGCAUCGUCGAAUGCCUUUGGUCCACCAUUCUUCUUGCACUUGUCGAUUACGGCUUGCUUGACGGCCUCAUCAUAAUUAUUCAAAUGGUCCAA